Molecule: long non-coding RNA, 729 nt
Filed under: Numida meleagris (helmeted guineafowl)
Lineage: Eukaryota; Metazoa; Chordata; Aves; Galliformes; Numididae
Description: lncRNA (ENSNMEG00000000638.1)
Source: RNAcentral
GUUAUAUCGAUCAUCUGCCAAACUGCAUUGCAGGUAUUAGUGGAAACUCUUCUGAGAUAGGAAGGAUUUGGUUAACUUUAUGAUUAUCAUUAGUAUUUUUCCUCAUGUUUUUGUGCUUUGGGUCCUAGCCAGAACCUGAAAAGGAAAUACCUCUGUACCCUGAGAGAAACUAUUUGUGAAGAAUUUCUGGCUUGACCUUAAACAGGAAUUGUCUGAAAUUACAGGAAAGACUUUUUACAAGAUUUCCCUUCUAGCUUUGCAAAUGCAAGCCAUUCAGAGGUUUUGGGUGCUUAUCAGCAGCUCUGGAAUACAUUUAAGAUUUGUUCAGUUUAUAGCUAAUAGAGAGAUCCUUGCAAACAGUUAAGAAUAGUGCCAUUUUCUCAAUCUUAUUCAUUUCCUGACUAUGUGCUGGGUUAGAACAGUAUAGAGACAGCAGUAAAAACAGCAUAAAAGCAGAAUCUUUUAAUUUUCAGCCUUGAGAUGUUCAGUGCUGCCAUUCAGUGGGAUGGAAAAGGACAAGAGAAGGGCCCAUCAGAUUCGCAGGAUGGAUCUUUAUGAUGAAUGCCAAAGCCACCUUGUACAUAACUUAGCUGAGAGACUGACUAGCAGUACGAUGAAAGAAAUAGAACCAGAUAUCCCAUAUGACUAUUACAUUACUGAAUUCAAGGAUCUGAUGUUUAUCCCAAUGAAGCCAAGUAAGUUUUUCCAUUAUUAUUAAGGCCAGCAAUG